GCCGGGUUAGCUCAGCGGUAGAGCAGCGGUUUUGUAAACCGUUGGUCGGGAGUUCAAUUCUCUCACCCGGCACCA
RNAcentral lists this transfer RNA (75 nucleotides) under Hyphomicrobiales bacterium. RNAcentral describes it as "tRNA-Thr". It matches the Rfam family "tRNA". Rfam says of the family: Transfer RNA (tRNA) molecules are approximately 80 nucleotides in length. Their secondary structure includes four short double-helical elements and three loops (D, anti-codon, and T loops). RNAcentral also lists the same sequence under 4 other names. Lineage: Bacteria; Pseudomonadati; Pseudomonadota; Alphaproteobacteria; Hyphomicrobiales. The record is from RNAcentral.